RNAcentral lists this ribosomal RNA (509 nucleotides) under uncultured bacterium. Its description in RNAcentral is "partial 16S ribosomal RNA". It matches the Rfam family "Bacterial small subunit ribosomal RNA", at positions 28 to 523 of the family's 1533-position model. The record is from RNAcentral.
GACGAACGCUGGCGGCGCGCUUAAUACAUGCAAGUCGAGCGAGAACCAGGGCUUCGGCACUGGGGACAGCGGCGAACGGGUGAGUAACACGUGGGUAAUCAACCCCCGACACCGGGAUAGCCCAGGGAAACUUGGAUUAAUACCGGAUGCCCCAUCUGGCUUUCGAGCCGGCUGGAAAAGGGUAGCUUCGGCCUCCGGUCGGGGACGAGCCCGCGGCGGAUUAGCUUGUUGGUGAGGUAAAGGCUCACCAAGGCGACGAUCGGUAGCUGGUCUGGGAGGACGAUCAGCCACACUGGGACUGAGACACGGCCCAGACUCCUACGGGAGGCAGCAGUAGGGAAUCUUGCGCAAUGGGCGAAAGCCUGACGCAGCGACGCCGCGUGAGGGAAGAAGGCCUUCGGGUUGUAAACCUCUUUCAGGAGGGACGAAGCCACUCGGGUUAAUAGCCUAGAGGGUGACGGUACCUCCAGAAGAAGCCCCGGCUAACUACGUGCCAGCCGCCGCGGUAA